Molecule: non-coding RNA, 108 nt
Organism: Chelonoidis abingdonii (Abingdon island giant tortoise)
Lineage: Eukaryota; Metazoa; Chordata; Testudines; Testudinidae
Source: RefSeq, a predicted model, not a curated record
CCUAUGGGUAUGGCACUUGGAACUACGGUUAGGGUUUCAAAGGGCAGAGCACUUGCAGCUACGGUGAGGGUUCAUAAGGGUAGGGCACUUGGACCAGGUGAGAGUGAG